UGCAGGACUAGGUGAAUGUCCAUGUG
Molecule: non-coding RNA, 26 nt
Filed under: Homo sapiens (human)
Lineage: Eukaryota; Metazoa; Chordata; Mammalia; Primates; Hominidae
Source: RNAcentral